This 301-nucleotide ribosomal RNA is filed under the name uncultured bacterium. RNAcentral describes it as "partial 16S ribosomal RNA". It matches the Rfam family "Bacterial small subunit ribosomal RNA", at positions 509 to 807 of the family's 1533-position model. The record is from RNAcentral.
CAGUCGCCGCGGUAAUACGGAGGGGGCUAGCGUUGUUCGGAAUUACUGGGCGUAAAGCGCACGUAGGCGGCUUUGUAAGUUAGAGGUGAAAGCCUGGAGCUCAACUCCAGAAUUGCCUUUAAGACUGCAUCGCUUGAAUCGCGGAGAGGUGAGUGGAAUUCCGAGUGUAGAGGUGAAAUUCGUAGAUAUUCGGAAGAACACCAGUGGCGAAGGCGGCUCACUGGACGCGUAUUGACGCUGAGGUGCGAAAGCGCGGGGAGCAAACAGGAUUAGAUACCCCCGUAGUCCCUGUCUCUUAUAC